Camellia sinensis is the source of this 1242-nucleotide non-coding RNA. NCBI's taxonomy places the organism in Eukaryota, Viridiplantae, Streptophyta, Magnoliopsida, Ericales, Theaceae. The record is from RefSeq and is a predicted model, not a curated record.
UCAAGUCAAGAUUCCUCUUUUGGGGUCUCCUUUCUUUCUUGCCGAAUAAUUUCCUUCUUGCUUGUUUUUCUUCCCUUUCCCUUUAUUUAUUUAUUUAUUUCAAUCAUCGCUUUUGAACAAUUCCUAGUUGCACCAUCUUCUUCUUGUCUAGUAGACAUUUUCCCCUCACUUAAAAACUCCAAAAUGUUUUCUAUAAAAAGAUUUUUGCAACAGUGUUGCUGACCCUCUUUCAUUUUAUACACAAAGAAGAGAUCUCCAGUUCUUUCAUGGUUCCAAAUAGUCAUAUCUCUGGAGAUGUAUCAGCAUUGUUGUAAUGUAUAACGGUAUUUGGACAAGAAUUUUUAAUAAUCAUAUAAAUUAGUGCCUUUUUUGUGUGAAUGUGAGGGUUUGUCUGUCUUUUUUCUCUCUUUCUCUUCAUAAAAUGACUACCAAAAAAAAAUCCCAUCUCACCAUUCCACCUUGUAAUUCAUUCAUCCGUGCCAUAGUAGAGUGUCAUAUCAUUCUAGGGUUUUGCUUGCCUUAUCAUAAUGGGGACAUAUGCUUCAAGUUGACCUACUGUGUAAAAGUCUGCAGGGGAACAAGUGAAGCUGCCAGCAUGAUCUAGCCUUGGUUAGAGGGAUAAUGUGGAGAGAGAGGUGAGGGAGAAGUCUAACCCUAGCUAGGUCAUGCUCUGACAGCCUCACUCCUUCCCCUAUGGGGGACCCAACAGAUUCCAACCAUUCUUCUGUUCUUCCACAAAUAGAAAAGCAGAAAGUGAAAAAUAGAACGGAGAAAUCACUAGGAAGAUAUGAGAGAAGUUCCUCCAGGAUGGGAUUCCUCGCAUUAUAUUUUCAGCUCUCUAAGCUUUCAAGUUGUUUGGAUGUUGACUUCGGAAGAAUUAGAUUUGGGGAGAGAUUUUGGAAGAAAAUUGUGAAAUUUUUUAUUUAUAUUUCAUUCACAUUUUUUUAAUGAAUCUAAAAUGCAGUGUCGAAUUCUGAAUUUGUAAUUUGCCAAAAUCUUCGCAAAACUGAAGCUAUUUGUGAGGGUUAAUGGUCUCAUGAAAAUAAACCGUUGGUAAUGCUGAAGCUAAAACUACCGGACAUGAUACACAAGAAGUGUUCUCGGAAUAUGUUGUAUUUUCAUUUCUUUAGAAUCAUUUUUUUUCGUGGAGAAAUAAGAAAUGGUUAAUCAGAUUAUUUACAGCAAUGCUGUCAAACUCGAUGAAACAAGUUUGUAAUAAUUAACGUAACACAUUUUGAACUU